CUUGGAACCUGAUAACUACAGAACGCUUUUUACGAAACGUGCAAAACUUAUUUUCUAUUAACCAAUAAAUACUCUAGUGAGUACAUUUAUGUUUUUUUACAUUGUCUGGUGCUAUAUUUUUUACUGCCAUAGAAAGAAGGGCAAACCAAUUUUGAACAAACGGUACUUACGAAAAACUAUUACGAAUAAGAAGACAAAGAGCGAAAACAGCAGACAAAGACUAAGCAUUUUUGUUGUAUUAUUGCGUUUCUGUUUACUUGUACUUUUAAUAUUCAAAAAGUGUUUUUAAGGCCUUAGAAAUUUAACGAUGGUUUUAAGGCUUGCGUUUUCCAAAUGUUCGCCAUUCCUCUACUAGAAUAAAUAAGCACGACUAUUAAUACGGAAAUUUAUAUAGACUUAUUAAACACUUCCUCUUUUGUAGUUACAAUACAUUCAGAAUUGCUCAAUAGAACUUUUCUUUAUAAUUAGUCCGGGAAAUAAUCCAGAGUAAGUUUCCGAAAUUAUUGUAUCAUAAAUAUUUUAAAAUACUUGGUUUGGAAAACAUCCAGACGCCUUUUAGGUAAUGCUUACAGAAGCCUUUUCCGGAAUGAAUUAAGAAUCCUUUUAAGGAGUGCUUACAGAUGCGUUGCACGGGAGUGUAAGAAUCUGACGUCUGUCAAAACUGGGUAUGCUUUCAU
This 677-nucleotide small RNA is filed under the name Drosophila yakuba. RNAcentral describes it as "GE29255". Lineage: Eukaryota; Metazoa; Arthropoda; Insecta; Diptera; Drosophilidae. The record is from RNAcentral.